Molecule: long non-coding RNA, 436 nt
Filed under: Eucalyptus grandis
Lineage: Eukaryota; Viridiplantae; Streptophyta; Magnoliopsida; Myrtales; Myrtaceae
Description: long non-coding RNA (EGRA_LNC004304)
Source: RNAcentral
AAAGAAAGUCUAUGUGUAGGAGUUGAUUAGUGGUUGAGAGGUUGAUGAGAUGAUCAAUUCUCUCUUCUUUUUUCCGUGUAUCUGCAAAAUAAAUAGCCUGUAAAUUUACCAAUACCAGAGUUACAUGAUGAAGUUGAGGUUGUUAUAUAUGUUGAUCCAUUGGAAACUAAGCAGCUUAAUGGAAAAAAAAAAUGAAUCAAAAGAGCAUCUAUAACUGAUGAUUUUAGUGGAAGAGAACAACAAACAGAAGAAUUUGUUUGGAAGUUUGAGAAAGACGCAAGAAGAUUAGAGGCGGAUGAAUUCUAGCCUUAAGUUGGAGAACGGUGAACAUCCAUAAACUGAUCUUCUCCUGAGCAACCUAGUCACUACUCCAAGAUGGUAUAGGUGGAUUUCCACUUAUAACGACCUUUUUUCUUCUAAGUAAUAAUUUGCAGCA